AUUGAACGCUGGCGGCAUGCCUUACACAUGCAAGUCGAACGGCAGCACGGGUGCUUGCACCUGGUGGCGAGUGGCGAACGGGUGAGUAAAACAUCGGAACAUGUCCUGUAGUGGGGGAUAGCCCGGCGAAAGCCGGAUUAAUACCGCAUACGAUCUACGGAUGAAAGCGGGGGACCUUCGGGCCUCGCGCUAUAGGGUUGGCCGAUGGCUGAUUAGCUAGUUGGUGGGGUAAAGGCCUACCAAGGCGACGAUCAGUAGCUGGUCUGAGAGGACGACCAGCCACACUGGGACUGAGACACGGCCCAGACUCCUACGGGAGGCAGCAGUGGGGAAUUUUGGACAAUGGGCGAAAGCCUGAUCCAGCAAUGCCGCGUGUGUGAAGAAGGCCUUCGGGUUGUAAAGCACUUUUGUCCGGAAAGAAAUCCUUGGCUCUAAUACAGUCGGGGGAUGACGGUACCGGAAGAAUAAGCACCGGCUAACUACGUG
Molecule: ribosomal RNA, 486 nt
Filed under: uncultured bacterium
Lineage: Bacteria
Description: partial 16S ribosomal RNA
Rfam family: Bacterial small subunit ribosomal RNA
Source: RNAcentral